AACGAACGCUGGCGGCAGGCCUAACACAUGCAAGUCGAGCGAUGAAGCACCUUCGGGUGUGGGAUUAGCGGCGGACCGGGUGAGUAACGCGUGGGAACCUUCCCUGUGGUACGGAAUAGCUCCGGGAAACUGGAAUUAGUGCCGUAUACGCCCUUCCGGGGGAAAGAUUUAUCGCCAUAGGAUGGGCCCGCGUCGGAUUAGCUUGUUGGUAGGGUAAUGGCCUACCAAGGCAACGAUCCGUAGCUGGUCUUAGAGGAUGAUCAGCCACACUGGGACUGAGACACGGCCCAGGCUCCUACGGGAGGCAGCAGUGGGGAAUAUUGGACAAUGGGCGAAAAGCCUGAUCCAGCCAUGCCGCGUGAGUGACGAAGGCCUUAGGGUUGUAAAACUCUUUUGGCGGGGACGAUAAUGACGGUACCCGCAGAAUAAGCCCCGGCUAACUUCGUG
RNAcentral lists this ribosomal RNA (447 nucleotides) under uncultured bacterium. RNAcentral's name for it is "bacterial SSU rRNA". It matches the Rfam family "Bacterial small subunit ribosomal RNA", at positions 29 to 507 of the family's 1533-position model. The record is from RNAcentral.